Molecule: non-coding RNA, 73 nt
Organism: Araneus ventricosus
Lineage: Eukaryota; Metazoa; Arthropoda; Arachnida; Araneae; Araneidae
Source: the annotation of a GenBank genome assembly
UCCCAUGUGGUCUCGUGGUUAGGAUACAUGGCUCUCACCCAUGGCGGCUCGUGUUCGAUUUUUGUCAUGGGAA